RNAcentral lists this ribosomal RNA (406 nucleotides) under uncultured bacterium. RNAcentral describes it as "bacterial SSU rRNA". It matches the Rfam family "Bacterial small subunit ribosomal RNA", at positions 917 to 1322 of the family's 1533-position model. The record is from RNAcentral.
GGGCCCGCACAAGCGGUGGAGCAUGUGGUUUAAUUCGAUGCAACGCGAAGAACCUUACCUACCCUUGACAUCAUCAGAACUUGUUAGAGAUAACUCGGUGCCUUCGGGAACUGGUUGACAGGUGCUGCAUGGCUGUCGUCAGCUCGUGUCGUGAGAUGUUGGGUUAAGUCCCGCAACGAGCGCAACCCUUAUCCUUAGUUGCCAGCACAUAAUGGUGGGGACUCUAAGGAGACUGCCGGUGACAAGCCGGAGGAAGGCGGGGACGACGUCAAGUCAUCAUGGCCCUUACGGGUAGGGCUACACACGUGCUACAAUGGUCGGUACAGAGGGUUGCCAAGUCGCGAGGCGGAGCUAAUCUCAGAAAGCCGGUCAUAGUCCGGAUUGCAGUCUGCAACUCGACUGCAUG